UGCAAGUCGAACGCACAGCGAAAGGUGCUUGCACCUUUCAAGUGAGUGGCGAACGGGUGAGUAACACGUGGACAACCUGCCUCAAGGCUGGGGAUAACAUUUGGAAACAGAUGCUAAUACCGAAUGAAACUUAGUGUCGCAUGACACGAAGUUAAAAGGCGCUUUGGCGUCACCUAGAGAUGGAUCCGCGGUGCAUUAGUUAGUUGGUGGGGUAAAGGCCUACCAAGACAAUGAUGCAUAGCCGAGUUGAGAGACUGAUCGGCCACAUUGGGACUGAGACACGGCCCAAACUCCUACGGGAGGCUGCAGUAGGGAAUCUUCCACAAUGGGCGAAAGCCUGAUGGAGCAACGCCGCGUGUGUGAUGAAGGCUUUCGGGUCGUAAAGCACUGUUGUAUGGGAAGAACAGCUAGAAUAGGGAAUGAUUUUAGUUUGACGGUACCAUACCAGAAAGGGACGGCUAAAUACGUGCCAGCAGCCGCGGUAAUACGUAUGUCCCGAGCGUUAUCCGGAUUUAUUGGGCGUAAAGCGAGCGCAGACGGUUGAUUAAGUCUGAUGUGAAAGCCCGGAGCUCAACUCCGGAAUGGCAUUGGAAACUGGUUAACUUGAGUGCAGUAGAGGUAAGUGGAACUCCAUGUGUAGCGGUGGAAUGCGUAGAUAUAUGGAAGAACACCAGUGGCGAAGGCGGCUUACUGGACUGUAACUGACGUUGAGGCUCGAAAGUGUGGGUAGCAAACAGGAUUAGAUACCCUGGUAGUCCACACCGUAAACGAUGAACACUAGGUGUUAGGAGGUUUCCGCCUCUUAGUGCCGAAGCUAACGCAUUAAGUGUUCCGCCUGGGGAGUACGACCGCAAGGUUUGAAACUCAAAGGAAUUGACGGGGACCCGCACAAGCGG
RNAcentral lists this ribosomal RNA (896 nucleotides) under Leuconostoc sp. TGO. RNAcentral's name for it is "bacterial SSU rRNA". It matches the Rfam family "Bacterial small subunit ribosomal RNA", at positions 56 to 932 of the family's 1533-position model. Lineage: Bacteria; Bacillati; Bacillota; Bacilli; Lactobacillales; Lactobacillaceae. The record is from RNAcentral.